AAACUCUAUCAAAAUCCAUUCCCAAACUAAAACUCCAGCAUAUGGUGAAGGGUGUCCCAAGCUCGGACCCGUCAAUCUUAUUGUUAGCAACGAUCUAAUUUUUUGCUUCAUAGCUUCCUCUUCGCAUUAACACCAUAUCACCAAGUUCACCAAUGCAUCCUAUCUCACGAACCACACUAUAUUCAUUUUUUUAGGAUUUUUGGAGAGAGGGGACUUGGCAAGUUUUGAUGAGGCUGGUAGGGGGUGUUUUAGAAGACUUUAGGAAGGAGAGGAUGAAUAAAAAUCGAGUGGUGCGAAGAUAGAGGGAGAGAAGAAAAGAGGAGAACAAGGGGGAAUGGCAAGAAUGAAG
This 349-nucleotide unclassified non-coding RNA is filed under the name Hevea brasiliensis (rubber tree). Lineage: Eukaryota; Viridiplantae; Streptophyta; Magnoliopsida; Malpighiales; Euphorbiaceae. The record is from RNAcentral.